UGAGGGUCUGCCGCUGCCUGUCGGAGGGGAUGCUGCCGGACCCCAGCACAGGGCAACCGGCUCCGGGCAGCGUCGCCCGUGGAGCCUUGCGCUCCUUCGCGGGAGUGAAGCGGUAGAAACAAACGGAACGUGCAAAAAGCCCCGGUGGCUGAUCUCUCUCGGGAGAGAUAGUGAGUGUGGGCUUAGGCAACGCGGUUUGCGUGCAGGGCUGCUACAUAAAAUACACUCAGACUGGGGCCCUCACCUCUGGUGCCCAACAGCAGUUCGGCACAGAGCUGGGCUCCCGUGCCCCUGGUUUACCCCUGAUCUGACUGACCUGCUUGUCCCUGAUCCUUGUGCCACAGGACCUCCAGGUACAUGAUCCUUCCAAUCAGGAAGGACGCUGGGCUCUCCGUGGGCUGCUGCUGGGACAUACUUACCUGCCAGCUCCCUCCUGCUUGCUCAUAUACUUGGGGCUGGGGGUCAGGCCCCAGGACUGGGGGUCAGAACAAAUGCUGUGAGCGCACCCAGCUGGCAAGGAAUGCUUGCUCGGGACUCGUACCCUGUGGCACGCGCCCGUGGGGCUGGGGUAGCACAGCCUCCUCGCUUGCUGGCAUGGUGAUCCUCAGGAGCCAGAGGAUAAACGGGAUGGCAGGAGGUUCUAGGGGUGGGAUGGGGAGGGUCAGUGUGUGCAGGUGCGCACAGGGAUGCGUGUGCAUGGGAGGGUGAGUACGCACAGGUACGUGGGUGUGCAAGGACACUGGUGUGGGGUUGAGAAUGUGCCUGGGAGUUUGUGCGUGUGCACUGACAUGCGAGUGUGCAUACAAACACAUGCCAGUGUGCACAGCUGUGUGGCUGGACCCAAGGCAUGAGUGUCCACAGGUAUGUGGGAAUGGAUGUGGGCAGGUGUGUGUGCAGAGGAAUGGGGGUGCAGAGAGGUGGGUAUGCAUAGUUGUGCAGGUGCUGUGUGUGGCUGUAGAGCUGAUCCUGCCCACGUCUUGGUGCUUCCUGCCAGUUCUCCCAAAACUCGGAUCACCAGUGUGCUGCUGAGUCUAUCUCUGUGGGAAAAGCUUUCCCAAAGCCCUUUUGGCCAUUACACAAAUGGUGUUUAAGGGAGCAAGGGGAGGUGGGAGAUGUUCAUCCUAGUGAAACAGGGCUCCCUUGAAGGUUUCCAACAAUGUUGUUUCUCUGCUUGGAGAAAAAUGUGUGUGAGGAUCCAUUUGCACGCAGCAAACGAACCCCAGCCCUGGUUUCUAGCUGAAUAAAGGGACCCCAGAGUCUUUGGCCACCUGCUUAUUUGUGCAGCUUCCCAGUGAUCUGGGAGGUAGCAGAAUAAACUAUGAUGCUAGCAGAAUAAACCAUGAAGUGGCACUCUCUGAGGACCCAUGUGUGCGGUCGCAGAAGCUGAAUGCAGAUGUGUGGCAGAGUUUCAAAUCACAUGCUGUAGAGUUUGUGCCAGGACACAGAAGAAAAAUCAGCCUCCCAUACUGACACCCAUGUUCUUGAAGUACACAAAACACUAGGGUAGUAUUACCCUGCACAAACCAAGAAACCGACUCCUUCAGCAUGAAAGGAGAGUGGCAAAGCUGCCUCGCCGGCAAUGCUCUGCCCUCUGGCUCAUGGGAAGCUGUAGCUGGGCAUGAAUUUUCCUGCCAGAUUUUCCAAAAGGCAGUGCGGUAGUUCCGUCACCUCUGGGGCUGUGUGUGUCUCUGCGCCAUGCCAGUUCCGUGCCUCCAGAGGGCAAAGUCAGAUCAUGCUUCACUUUGCACUUGUAGAGGAUGGGGAAUGAAAGCAGUGCGCUGAGGUGGGAUGGUGUGCUGAACAGCUGCUUUUGCCCUCCCUGCUGGUGAUGAAAAUCCUUUUCCAAGAAACCACUUUCCUUGGCAGAGCCCAGCCUGUAAGCAGAGUGAAAUGGAUACCCAAACAGCAUGUGCUGGCUCUUGUCCCUUCUCCUUUCCUCGUCAUGCAUGUUAAACUGUAAUCCCAGUAUUUGUGAGUGAAGUAGGAGUUGUGUAAUGUGGUGGUGUAGAGACUAUCCUCAAUCUGAUAUUAUCAUCAGCCUAUUUCAAAACAUUUUCAGCUCUCCACUCGGGGAGCAGGAGUAUGUCCCAUUUUAAGCAUUGGUGUCUCUUUUGACUGCCAGUUCCUCUGGGGAGGGAACUAUGGGGAACAUGAAACUCAGACUCACUCAGGUGGAUCUUAGACUGCAUAUCUCCUCCAUCUGUAAACCAAAGUGCUGCCUGUUGCUGCAGCAGAAGAGUUGGUGCUUUUCAUGUUUGGCAUUAUUUUAUUUUCUCUUGUCAUUCAGCUACACUGGAGGAGGGACAAGGGUGUUGUGAGGUUUGCAUGGCGCUUGCUCCCCUGAAGCCUGCGCAUUUCAUCACCUCAUGAAAAUCUUCCGGAUGCGUGUCUUUGAAUAGCCAUCAGGCUCUGUUGGCAUGGAAAUGAGUUCUCUCUAUUUUGCCUAUCAAAUGCCCUAUUUGGCCAGUCAUUCAACAGUUUUGAGAGGUUUAAUCCCCUCUAAGGGUGGCCUAAGUCUUUGGUGUUCACACUCCCUGUAGCGAGCUUCACCUUUCCCCUCCGAGUCUUCCCUGCCACUUGCAGCCUCCUGUGGUUACUGCAGGCAGCUGUGUCCGUGGCAUGGUGUCAGCUUUGGGUAUAGUUUCCUCUAUUUGUGUCCCAGUGUGAUAGCAGCAGUAAGGCUGUUGCAGAAGGCAGGGGGUAAGGAAGCCAGCCAGCCAGAAGAAUUUCUUCUGCAUGCAGGGCCACCGUCAUAAGUAUUGGUCAUGCCACUAACUUUGGUAGAGCAGGUGAAGGCCAAGCAUGUAGGACACAGUGGUGGCUCAGAUCUUGCCGGAUGAACAUCUCCUACUCUAUGUUUCCCGGGUACCCUGCUGGGACUUGUCUGCUCUGCUCACUCACAGCUGGCAUCACUGCUGUCUGAUGGGAGCUCCUGCAAGGGGCCCACAGGGCCGGAAAGACCCUGAGGCUUGUGGAAGGGAAGGGUGGCUUGUCAUCUGAAGCCGAAUUUUGCUUGCCGGUGCACUAGGUGAUCCCUCUCUGCAGCUAGUGGUGAAACCUGAUGCUUGAUAGAGAAUAAUAGGAUGCAGCAGUUUAGAGAGAAUUGUUUAUUGCUUGCUUUGGAAGCUGGGAAUUUUAUUUAAGAAUAAUUAUUUAAGUUAAUUAAUUGUCUUACUGUGAACAAAAUAUCUUUGCAAAUAUCCUGUUUUACUUCAAAAAGUUAUUUGGAAAUAAA
Harpia harpyja (harpy eagle) is the source of this 3235-nucleotide long non-coding RNA. RefSeq lists it as uncharacterized. The record is from RefSeq and is a predicted model, not a curated record. The transcript is spliced from 2 exons. Lineage: Eukaryota; Metazoa; Chordata; Aves; Accipitriformes; Accipitridae.